CAGGAUUUAUGAACGUGUCAUUGAUCCCCCAGAAACGAAUUUAACACCUGAAAGCAGCUUAUGGCUGGGACAGAGGAACAGGAAACAUGGUUUCUUUAAGGGUGUUAUCCAAGAUGUGAAAGUCAUCUUUAUACCUAAUGGAUAUAUAACACAGUGUCCUAAUCUGAAUCGCACAUGCCCAACCUGCAGUGAUUUCUUAAGUCUGGUGCAAGGAAUCAUGGAUUUGCAAGAACUC
This is a long non-coding RNA of Prinia subflava (tawny-flanked prinia), 235 nucleotides long. RefSeq lists it as uncharacterized. The record is from RefSeq and is a predicted model, not a curated record. The transcript is spliced from 3 exons. Lineage: Eukaryota; Metazoa; Chordata; Aves; Passeriformes; Cisticolidae.